GAUGAACGCUGGCGGCGUGCCUAAUACAUGCAAGUCGAGCGAACAGACGAGGAGCUUGCUCCUCUGACGUUAGCGGCGGACGGGUGAGUAACACGUGGAUAACCUACCUAUAAGACUGGGAUAACUUCGGGAAACCGGAGCUAAUACCGGAUAAUAUAUUGAACCGCAUGGUUCAAUAGUGAAAGACGGUUUUGCUGUCACUUAUAGAUGGAUCCGCGCCGCAUUAACUAGUUGGUAAGGUAACGGCUUACCAAGGCAACGAUGCGUAGCCGACCUGAGAGGGUGAUCGGCCACACUGGAACUGAGACACGGUCCAGACUCCUACGGGAGGCAGCAGUAGGGAAUCUUCCGCAAUGGGCGAAAGCUUGACGGAGCAACGCCGCGUGAGUGAUGAAGGUCUUCGGAUCGUAAAACUCUGUUAUUAGGGAAGAACAAAUGUGUAAGUAACUAUGCACGUCUUGACGGUACCUAAUCAGAAAGCCACGGCUAACUACGUG
This 497-nucleotide ribosomal RNA is filed under the name uncultured bacterium. Its description in RNAcentral is "partial 16S ribosomal RNA". It matches the Rfam family "Bacterial small subunit ribosomal RNA", at positions 28 to 507 of the family's 1533-position model. The record is from RNAcentral.